GUGUGGGGACGGCGGGGGCCGGUGGGGACGGCGCCGGAGAUGGGUCUCGUCCUAGGGGUGAAGGAUUCAAGGGUGUUGAUGCUUCCCUGAGGUCGACGGCCGAGAGGGUGGCGGUUAGGUGGAGAGAAGAGGUUGAGAGGGAUAUGCUGCAGGAUUUUCGGUGGCCGUGGGUGCUUGCCGGCGGCCGUGGGUUCUUGCCGGCAGUUGGGGUGUGCGCACGGGCAGGGCAAGGAGGAGCUAAGGUCGGUUAGGGUGGACUAGGGCUAGGUGGGGCGGAUUAGGGUUAGGGUUCCAUAGGAGAAACCCUAAUUCCACUUUUAUACAAAGUGUAUAAUUGCAUAAAAGUCCUCCAUAGUCCUAUAUUUUCAGCUAGGUCCCCUGCCAGCACGUAUAUUAUGCACUCAAGUCCCUCGACGUUCGACUUUGCGCAAAACGGCGCAUAAAAUAUUAGGGUUUUCGCGAUUUUUCUGUUUUGCCAAUUUUGACCUCUCAGCGGACUUUUCACGAUUCUCGAAGAUCCGUCAGUCGGAUUUUCGAACGGAUCCAGCCAGCGCAUUCAGCACGACUGGGGCAUCGAAUCUAGCAUUUCAUUUUGUCCGAUUCGGUCGCCGAUUAGCGACAAAACCAACCCUCUCCAAUCUCCAAAAACCAUACCUAUACAUAUAGAUCCAAUAAAACUCUUUUUCUCGAAAACCGUGCAUCAGAACCCAAAUCCGUCAGUGCCAUUAUGUCCAGGAUAGUCGAACCAUCGAAAACAAGCUAUUGGAUCACUAUGA
RNAcentral lists this long non-coding RNA (776 nucleotides) under Ananas comosus (pineapple). RNAcentral describes it as "long non-coding RNA (ACOM_LNC024238)". The record is from RNAcentral. Lineage: Eukaryota; Viridiplantae; Streptophyta; Magnoliopsida; Poales; Bromeliaceae.